CGUAUGUGGUAAUGUGUAUAUAUAUCGGAAGCAAUAAUAGCGAUGAAAAGUGUAACACUAAACUGAGUCAUGAGACUUCCAACUUGUGGGUGUAUACUGUUUGUUAGCGCCAUUAUCACACCGAAAGUGUAUCCCAGAGAAUAUAGUGCACUUCACGGUUCUCACAGAACACUUCACUUUUGAAUUUUUUUUUGAUUUUUAUAAUUGAAUAAUCAAAAGUCACAUGCCAAGAAUAUUGGUUAUAACCUGAAGACAUUUCGUAGUGCGGAGUAAUGAACAUUGUUCUGGGAAAAAAUACGUCGAAAAGUGCACAAAUCAAUAUCUACAAGCUUUUCGCGAUUUGUUUUGUUUAGUGAAAGAAUAGCUGUUUUUGGUUUAGCAACUAACAAUCUUCGAAGUUUAUAUAAUUUGGAAAUUUCAAUUACGUACGGUAUUUGCCAAUGUUAGUGUUCUGGUGAAAUCAGAAAACAAAUGUAGGUAAACUCAUCGUAAGGCGGGAUGAAGAAGAGUUUCUCCUUCACGAUCGACUGAUUUGAAUUGUGUGUUAUGGAGGCAAGAAAGAUGUUUCUAUAUUUGUGGAAGCUGGAAAUAUCAAGGGUCUUCGAAAAGAAUAGCAACAAUUAUUAAAUUGAGAAGCAUAAGUAGAAGAAAAUAAUCAUCAUCAAUUUCAAGUAGACGAGUCCUUGGAACAUAUGAAAUAGUGAUACAGGAUUGGAGCAGGUAGAUGUAAGUGUGGUUACAUAAUCAACAAAUUGACAACACAUUGUUUUUGUUACGUGAAAACCGAUAUCAUCAGAUUAAGUGAAAUAGUGUAGAAUUCUAUAGGCCGUUAAUCGUGAAUCAGUUUUAAUAUAGUUUUAAGUGUAAUGAUGAAAAAAUCGAGUUCAGAGCAACAGUAUCGUUGGAAUUAUGAUUAAACCACAAGAAUCCAGCUAGAGUUUUAGGAUAAGUUCCUGUUCCUGAAACGCUUAUGAGGGUUGAACCUUUUUUAAAAUGCCAUUUAAAAAGAUUCAAAGAAGAGUUAGUGGACCGGGAGCCUACUGCAAUAAUUAUCUGCAAAACAGCCAGGAAAACUCGGAGUUUCUACAACUUUAUCAAAAUCAGCUGCAUCAGUCUUCAGUGAACGUUGGAUACAGUAACAUAGUUUACGGUAGUAACACUAGUGCCCAACAAGGUACAGCAAAAUGUGGCUCAGCGACAACAACACUAGCAGUUGCUGAAUCACACGAUGUGUACCCCUCUUCAAAUCAAUCUGCUGGCCUGAAAUUGCAGUUUCUUUCAACGCAGUGGAUGGAAUUGAUUCGCAUGAAAUACACUACAUCUUUACCACACAUGGUGUCGGAUGAAUGCUUCUAAACUGCAGAUUCGCGACGGAUAUGUCCUGGUGCGUUACGGGUAUCUUGGCUUCCUGUACAAAGUAGUAGUACCCGGAUGGCGAUUCAGUGUUAGCAUGGUGAGAUUAAUCCGAUUUAUCUUUUCUACGGGCGGACUUUUUGAGGAAGUUUUUUCUGUAUUGUUAUAACUGGGCAUACGCCAUAACGCAUGUGGAUCGCUUCACAUAGAUGAGUUACAACGUAAGAUCUGCGAUUCAUUUUUUAUGCAUUCCUGUGUAAAGUAAUAAUGUUUGACGCCUGUGUAAACAUUACCUUUAUUUUUUCUUCCAAUGAUAGCAACUUUAUCUCAAACAAGUACUCAAGUUUAUUCUAAAAUAUAAUCAUUGUUUAACAACCUCCACAUAUGUUUCUAAUUCUUACUCUUUCAGCGGUAAUAAGGUAAAUAAUAAUACAUAAUUUAAUAUUGCUUUAUAACAUCUUUUCAUACGCUUUUUCGCCACGGAAAGCAUCAUAUAAAACCCCAUCCAUCUUCCAACUCCAGAUAUCUAUGAAGUGGGCCAAGUUCUUGGACAUAUUCUGAGUAGAUAUCUAAUCAACAUUUCCUCCCCAUCCCCGCUGAUCGUAAGGACCUGGCCAGGUGUCGAACAAAGAGGUCGUUCAAUGAAAAGUCUGUCAAGCCCCAGGCAGUUUUUCUGGCGCAUUAAACGUCUCUAUCGACAGCCACCCCAGGAUGUGUACGGUCGGCUAUGCUAUGCUAUGCUAAGCGCAACGAGAGCUCAUAGCCCAUACCACAACGGAUUUAAUCAAUGCCCUGAAAAGGACACUGUAAAACGCAUAAGCGUAAAGAGAGCCUAUAGCUAAUUGGAGGUAGCUUGUGACGUCAUGCGACUUUCAAUAUGACAUUGAAAGGCACGGCAUCGAAAGCAUCGUCAAUAUUCAUAAAUCACAAUUGCAAAAACUACGUUUGAGCGAGUACUUUCUUGAAAACGUAUACAACUUUGUGUAAAAGAGUCACUGUGGACAUCCCAAAUUGGGAGGCAUGUGAGUUCACAUGAAUAGCCAUGUCAGCCAGACGAACAUCACAGAUGUGAUAAUCGACAAUGCGUUUCAAGCAUUUCAGAAAGAACGAGGUAACCAGGAACUCAUUCCUUCAUUAUACAAUGCACGCACCCUUUCGGGAUAAAACUAUGGAGUAAUUUCAUACCAUGAAAAUAUCCCAUAGAAAACUACAAGAGUUCAAAACAUGUUUAAAAUGCUCAAAUCCCUCUGAAGAAAAAUAGGACAAAACACCAUUUGCUCCUGGAGAUUUGAAGUAAGCAGAGCGUUUUAGUGCCCACUAAGUCAAUUAUAUAGCUAUAAUUCUCUGGCGGAAGCUAAAGAUCCGUAACUAUACAAAAGACUGGUUUAUCCGAAGAUAUUUUGAACUUGAACAGAUCAGAGUUCCAUUCAGGAAUACCUCUUGCGGUCCGCACAGACCGCAGAGGACAAGCUUCUUUCAAAGUAAUAGUUAUGGUAUACCACAAUGGAGGG
Aedes albopictus (Asian tiger mosquito) is the source of this 2864-nucleotide long non-coding RNA. RefSeq lists it as uncharacterized. The transcript is spliced from 4 exons. The record is from RefSeq and is a predicted model, not a curated record. NCBI's taxonomy places the organism in Eukaryota, Metazoa, Arthropoda, Insecta, Diptera, Culicidae.